This 73-nucleotide transfer RNA is filed under the name Caudoviricetes sp. RNAcentral describes it as "tRNA-Pro". It matches the Rfam family "tRNA". From Rfam's summary of the family: Transfer RNA (tRNA) molecules are approximately 80 nucleotides in length. Their secondary structure includes four short double-helical elements and three loops (D, anti-codon, and T loops). Further hydrogen bonds mediate the characteristic L-shaped molecular structure. tRNAs have two regions of fundamental functional importance: the anti-codon, which is responsible for specific mRNA codon recognition, and the 3' end, to which the tRNAs corresponding amino acid is attached (by aminoacyl-tRNA synthetases). tRNAs cope with the degeneracy of the genetic code in two manners: having more than one tRNA (with a specific anti-codon) for a particular amino acid; and 'wobble' base-pairing, i.e. permitting non-standard base-pairing at the 3rd anti-codon position. The record is from RNAcentral. Lineage: Duplodnaviria; Heunggongvirae; Uroviricota; Caudoviricetes.
CGGGAUGUGGCGCAGUUGGUAGCGCGCAUGGUUUGGGACCAUGGGGUCGCAGGUUCGAGUCCUGUCAUCCCGA